CAUUCAUUCGCAGAGCAAGGUUGCCAGGAGGAUUUACAAUUUCGAAAAUUAGUCGAAAUGGAUUUGUUGCGAUAUUUCUUUCCAUUUUUUUCUGCCUUGGGCUAAUCAGGAGUAGUUUGGGAUGGAAUUUAUUUCCAUGGACGGGUACAAGUUCACUCGGGAAUUUCACGAGGGAGAAACUUUCUUCUUUGAGAAACCAACGGAAUCGCUUGCAGAGUCUUGUCAUUGAGGAGGAAAGGGCAGAAAUAGGGGAAAAAGAGGAAAAAGUGACGCUGAAUUCAUCCCUGGCAAGUAAAUUUUCAAGGAAAAAUUUCGUGAAAAAUUUUGUACCCGUGAAUGAAAUAAUUGAGAAAAUGUCUGACAAAAGGAAGCCACAGAGUUUUGAUCCACGUCUGGAAUUGGUUGACAGAAUGUUGAAAUCUGAAAAGAUGAAAAAUAUUUUAAAUCUAUUUCCGAUUGACUUUGGAAUUAAAAUAAAAAAGAUAUUAAAGAUCGAUGGGUUGAAGGAUAGUCAUGAUGAUUAUUCCGGAAUUAAUCUUGCCGCCAGUAGAGGAGGAGGAGGGGGUGG
Folsomia candida is the source of this 568-nucleotide long non-coding RNA. RefSeq lists it as uncharacterized. Lineage: Eukaryota; Metazoa; Arthropoda; Collembola; Entomobryomorpha; Isotomidae. The record is from RefSeq and is a predicted model, not a curated record. The transcript is spliced from 3 exons.